Molecule: ribosomal RNA, 466 nt
Filed under: Gemella morbillorum
Lineage: Bacteria; Bacillati; Bacillota; Bacilli; Caryophanales; Gemellaceae
Description: bacterial SSU rRNA
Rfam family: Bacterial small subunit ribosomal RNA
Source: RNAcentral
GACGAACGCUGGCGGCGUGCCUAAUACAUGCAAGUCGAGCGAAGUUUUUCUGGUGCUUGCACUAGAAAAACUUAGCGGCGAACGGGUGAGUAACACGUAAAGAACCUGCCUCAUAGACUGGGACAACUAUUGGAAACGAUAGCUAAUACCGGAUAACAGCAUUAACUGCAUGGUUGAUGUUUGAAAGUUGGUUAUGCUAACACUAUGAGAUGGCUUUGCGGUGCAUUAGCUAGUUGGUGGGGUAAAGGCCCACCAAGGCGACGAUGCAUAGCCGACCUGAGAGGGUGAUCGGCCACACUGGGACUGAGACACGGCCCAGACUCCUACGGGAGGCAGCAGUAGGGAAUCUUCCGCAAUGGGCGAAAGCCUGACGGAGCAACGCCGCGUGAGUGAAGAAGGAUUUCGGUUUGUAAAGCUCUGUUGUUAGGGAAGAAUGGAUAUGUAGUAACUAUACAUGUACGAGACG